UACAGAGGGGGCAAGCGUUAUUCGGAAUUAUUGGGCGUAAAGGGCUCGUAGGCGGUUUGUCGCGUCGGGAGUGAAAACACUGGGCUUAACUCAGUGCUUGCUUCCGAUACGGGCAGACUAGAGGUAUGCAGGGGAGAACGGAAUUCCUGGUGUAGCGGUGAAAUGCGUAGAUAUCUGGAGGAAUACCGGUGGCGAAGGCGGCAUCCUGGACCGAGAUUGACGCUGAGGCGCGAAAGCCAGGGGAGCAAACGGG
This 253-nucleotide ribosomal RNA is filed under the name uncultured bacterium. Its description in RNAcentral is "partial 16S ribosomal RNA". It matches the Rfam family "Bacterial small subunit ribosomal RNA", at positions 524 to 776 of the family's 1533-position model. The record is from RNAcentral.